RNAcentral lists this ribosomal RNA (381 nucleotides) under uncultured bacterium. RNAcentral describes it as "bacterial SSU rRNA". It matches the Rfam family "Bacterial small subunit ribosomal RNA", at positions 8 to 416 of the family's 1533-position model. The record is from RNAcentral.
AGAGUUUGAUCAUGGCUCAGAACGUACGCUGGCGGCACGCCUAACACAUGCAAGUCGAACGAAGUAGCAAUACUUAGUGGCAGACGGGUGAGUAACAUGUAGGUAUCUGCCCUUUGGCCUGGAAUAACACGAGGAAACUUGUGCUAAUACCGGAUAAGUCUUUACGGAGAAAGCUUUAUGCACCAUUGGAUGAGCCUGCACUUGAUUAGUUUGUUGGUGGGGUAAUGGCCUACCAAGACUGUGAUCAAUAGCUGAUUUGAGAGGAUGAUCAGCCACAUUGGGACUGAGACACGGCCCAAACUCCUACGGGAGGCAGCAGUGGGGAAUCUUGCACAAUGGAGGAAACUCUGAUGCAGCGAUGCCGCGUGAGUGAAGAAGGCC